RNAcentral lists this unclassified non-coding RNA (77 nucleotides) under Clostridium sp. DSM 8431. The record is from RNAcentral. Lineage: Bacteria; Bacillati; Bacillota; Clostridia; Eubacteriales; Clostridiaceae.
AACCGCCGUAUACGGAACCGUAUGUACGGUGGUGUGAGAGGUCGGUAGAUAAAAUAAUUAUCUACCUCCUACUCGAU